UCGGCAAAACCUCCACAGGAAGCGGCGCUCCGCACGGGGCCGGGGCCACUGCCUGCAACCAGCCUCUUGCUAGUGAUGGGUCCUCUCCCCUCCACCCCCGGGCACGCGGAGAAGCCCUUGCUGGCAGAGGGCAGCGGACGAGGUCUCUCUCCUGGAUGCUGUGACGUCUGGAAGGGACAGCUGUAGCCACUGAGGCCGUUCGGGCCACACGGCCGAGCAACGGUGUGGACCGAGUGACUGGAGCAAGCGACAGGACCUAGGGGACCCGCGAGCCGGCGCCCGCACCAGCGCACCGCAGCUGGCCAGCCUUCCGGGCCCCGAAGCUGCCUCUGCUCGCCCGGCCUCCGUGCACCACGGAUCUCCGGGACGGGGCGGGGGCACCUUCGCCACCACCACACACCUAGGCCAGAGGACCCCUCCCCUGAGAGUAUCCGGAAGUUUGUCACAAAAGGAUUCUUUGUAAAUUCUAUCAGGCGUUUUUACAUAAGAUCUACAAUGCAGAUGGCUCCAGGGCAACCGUUCAUUCUACACAGUGAGGGGUACAGAGUCUGGGAGAAGGCAGCUCCGGCUGCCAGCAGUGGAACGGGCCGCGUGUCCUGGACGGCGCCAGCUGAGCGCACGCGGCCCUGUCCGACGGCCGCACCGUGUCCUCUGAAACAGAAGCGCUAAUCGGAUCAACAGAAGAGAAGGCUUCCAGCCAACAGAAUCCCCAGCCAGCCCGUGUGCUGGAGAAAACAAGACC
Molecule: long non-coding RNA, 742 nt
Organism: Suricata suricatta (meerkat)
Lineage: Eukaryota; Metazoa; Chordata; Mammalia; Carnivora; Herpestidae
Exons: 3
Source: RefSeq, a predicted model, not a curated record